RNAcentral lists this ribosomal RNA (490 nucleotides) under uncultured bacterium. Its description in RNAcentral is "partial 16S ribosomal RNA". It matches the Rfam family "Bacterial small subunit ribosomal RNA", at positions 30 to 507 of the family's 1533-position model. The record is from RNAcentral.
AUUGAACGCUGGCGGCAGGCCUAACACAUGCAAGUCGAACGGUAACAGGAAGCAGCUUGCUGCUUCGCUGACGAGUGGCGGACGGGUGAGUAAUGUCUGGGAAACGGCCUGAUGGAGGGGGAUAACUACUGGAAACGGUAGCUAAUACCGCAUAACGUCGCAAGACCAAAGAGGGGGACCUUAGGGCCUCUUGCCAUCGGAUGUGCCCAGAUGGGAUUAGCUAGUAGGUGGGGUAACGGCUCACCUAGGCGACGAUCCCUAGCUGGUCUGAGAGGAUGACCAGCCACACUGGAACUGAGCCACGGUCCAGACUCCUACGGGAGGCAGCAGUGGGGAAUAUUGCACAAUGGGCGCAAGCCUGAUGCAGCCAUGCCGCGUGUAUGAAGAAGGCCUUCGGGUUGUAAAGUACUUUCAGCGGGGAGGAAGGGAGUAAAGUUAAUACCUUUGCUCAUUGACGUUACCCGCAGAAGAAGCACCGGCUAACUCCGUG